RNAcentral lists this ribosomal RNA (496 nucleotides) under uncultured bacterium. RNAcentral's name for it is "partial 16S ribosomal RNA". It matches the Rfam family "Bacterial small subunit ribosomal RNA", at positions 28 to 507 of the family's 1533-position model. The record is from RNAcentral.
GAUGAACGCUGGCGGCGUGCCUAAUACAUGCAAGUCGAGCGAACAGACGAGGAGCUUGCUCCUCUGACGUUAGCGGCGGACGGGUGAGUAACACGUGGAUAACCUACCUAUAAGACUGGGAUAACUUCGGGAAACCGGAGCUAAUACCGGAUAAUAUAUUGAACCGCAUGGUUCAAUAGUGAAAGACGGUUUUGCUGUCACUUAUAGAUGGAUCCGCGCCGCAUUAGCUAGUUGGUAAGGUAACAGCUUACCAAGGCAACGAUGCGUAGCCGACCUGAGAGGGUGAUCGGCCACACUGGAACUGAGACACGGUCCAGACUCCUACGGGAGGCAGCAGUAGGGAAUCUUCCGCAAUGGGCGAAAGCCUGACGGAGCAACGCCGCGUGAGUGAUGAAGGUCUUCGGAUCGUAAAACUCUGUUAUUAGGGAAGAACAAAUGUGUAGUAACUAUGCACGUCUUGACGGUACCUAAUCAGAAAGCCACGGCUAACUACGUG